Molecule: ribosomal RNA, 370 nt
Filed under: uncultured eukaryote
Lineage: Eukaryota
Description: partial 18S ribosomal RNA
Rfam family: Eukaryotic small subunit ribosomal RNA
Source: RNAcentral
CAAUAGCGUAUAUUAAAGUUGUUGCAGUUAAAAAGCUCGUAGUUGGACCUUGGACCUGGACAGGCGGUCCGCCUCACGGCGUGUACUGUCUUGCUGGGUCUUUCCUCUUGGUGAUCUGUUGUUUCGGCAGCAGGGAACCAGGACUUUUACUUUGAAAAAAUUAGAGUGUUCAAAGCAGGCUCGACGCCGGAAUAUAUUAGCAUGGAAUAAUAAAAUAGGACGUGCGGUUCUAUUCUGUUGGUUUUUGGAAUCGCCGUAAUGAUUAAUAGGGACAGUCGGGGGCAUUAGUACUCACAUGCUAGAGGUGAAAUUCUUGGAUUUUGUGAAGACUAACUUCUGCGAAAGCAUUUGCCAAGGAUGUUUUCAUUAA